RNAcentral lists this transfer RNA (70 nucleotides) under Heterocephalus glaber (naked mole-rat). It matches the Rfam family "tRNA". From Rfam's summary of the family: Transfer RNA (tRNA) molecules are approximately 80 nucleotides in length. Their secondary structure includes four short double-helical elements and three loops (D, anti-codon, and T loops). Further hydrogen bonds mediate the characteristic L-shaped molecular structure. tRNAs have two regions of fundamental functional importance: the anti-codon, which is responsible for specific mRNA codon recognition, and the 3' end, to which the tRNAs corresponding amino acid is attached (by aminoacyl-tRNA synthetases). tRNAs cope with the degeneracy of the genetic code in two manners: having more than one tRNA (with a specific anti-codon) for a particular amino acid; and 'wobble' base-pairing, i.e. permitting non-standard base-pairing at the 3rd anti-codon position. Lineage: Eukaryota; Metazoa; Chordata; Mammalia; Rodentia; Bathyergidae. The record is from Rfam by way of RNAcentral.
GGGAAUGUAGCUCAGAGAUAGAGCACUUACCUAGCAUGUGUGAGGCCCCAGGUUCAACCUAGCACUCCGA